ACACCUCAACUCUCAUGGCUCGCCGUGAUGAGCUUGGACUUUGGGGGUCUUGCCGGCCUGUAGUUGGCUCCUCUCAAAUGAAUCAGCUUACCAGUGUUUGGUGGCAUCACAGGUGUGAUAACUAUCUACGCUUGUGGUUCUCCACCAGGUAACCUUCAGCGAUGGAGGUUCGCUGGGGCUCAUAAAUGUCUCUCCUCGGUGGGGACAGCUCUCUGAAC
This 218-nucleotide unclassified non-coding RNA is filed under the name uncultured Tomentella. RNAcentral's name for it is "sequence contains ITS2". The record is from RNAcentral. Lineage: Eukaryota; Fungi; Basidiomycota; Agaricomycetes; Thelephorales; Thelephoraceae.